RNAcentral lists this ribosomal RNA (847 nucleotides) under Bipolaris maydis (southern corn leaf blight pathogen). Its description in RNAcentral is "eukaryotic LSU rRNA". It matches the Rfam family "Eukaryotic large subunit ribosomal RNA", at positions 71 to 936 of the family's 3401-position model. The record is from RNAcentral. Lineage: Eukaryota; Fungi; Ascomycota; Dothideomycetes; Pleosporales; Pleosporaceae. RNAcentral also lists the same sequence under 11 other names.
GGGAUUGCCCUAGUAACGGCGAGUGAAGCGGCAACAGCUCAAAUUUGAAAUCUGGCUCUUUCAGAGUCCGAGUUGUAAUUUGCAGAGGGCGCUUUGGCUUUGGCAGCGGUCCAAGUUCCUUGGAACAGGACGUCACAGAGGGUGAGAAUCCCGUACGUGGUCGCUAGCUAUUGCCGUGUAAAGCCCCUUCGACGAGUCGAGUUGUUUGGGAAUGCAGCUCUAAAUGGGAGGUAAAUUUCUUCUAAAGCUAAAUAUUGGCCAGAGACCGAUAGCGCACAAGUAGAGUGAUCGAAAGAUGAAAAGCACUUUGGAAAGAGAGUCAAACAGCACGUGAAAUUGUUGAAAGGGAAGCGCUUGCAGCCAGACUUGCUUGCAGUUGCUCAUCCGGGCUUUUGCCCGGUGCACUCUUCUGUAGGCAGGCCAGCAUCAGUUUGGGCGGUGGGAUAAAGGUCUCUGUCACGUACCUCUCUUCGGGGAGGCCUUAUAGGGGAGACGACAUACCACCAGCCUAGACUGAGGUCCGCGCAUCUGCUAGGAUGCUGGCGUAAUGGCUGUAAGCGGCCCGUCUUGAAACACGGACCAAGGAGUCUAACAUCUAUGCGAGUGUUUGGGUGUCAAGCCCGAGCGCGUAAUGAAAGUGAACGGAGGUGGGAACCCGCAAGGGUGCACCAUCGACCGAUCCUGAAGUUUACGGAAGGAUUUGAGUAAGAGCAUGGCUGUUGGGACCCGAAAGAUGGUGAACUAUGCUUGAAUAGGGUGAAGCCAGAGGAAACUCUGGUGGAGGCUCGCAGCGGUUCUGACGUGCAAAUCGAUCGUCAAAUUUGGGCAUAGGGGCGAAAGACUAAUC